UGCAAGUCGAACGGCAGCGCGGGAGCAAUCCUGGCGGCGAGUGGCGAACGGGUGAGUAAUACAUCGGAACGUGCCCAAUCGUGGGGGAUAACGCAGCGAAAGCUGUGCUAAUACCGCAUACGAUCUACGGAUGAAAGCAGGGGAUCGCAAGACCUUGCGCGAAUGGAGCGGCCGAUGGCAGAUUAGGUAGUUGGUGAGGUAAAGGCUCACCAAGCCUUCGAUCUGUAGCUGGUCUGAGAGGACGACCAGCCACACUGGGACUGAGACACGGCCCAGACUCCUACGGGAGGCAGCAGUGGGGAAUUUUGGACAAUGGGCGAAAGCCUGAUCCAGCCAUGCCGCGUGCAGGAUGAAGGCCUUCGGGUUGUAAACUGCUUUUGUACGGAACGAAACGGUCUUUUCUAAUACAGAAGGCUAAUGACGGUACCGUAAGAAUAAGCACCGGCUAACUACGUGCCAGCAGCCGCGGUAAUACGUAGGGUGCAAGCGUUAAUCGGAAUUACUGGGCGUAAAGCGUGCGCAGGCGGUUAUGUAAGACAGUUGUGAAAUCCCCGGGCUCAACCUGGGAACUGCAUCUGUGACUGCAUAGCUAGAGUACGGUAGAGGGGGAUGGAAUUCCGCGUGUAGCAGUGAAAUGCGUAGAUAUGCGGAGGAACACCGAUGGCGAAGGCAAUCCCCUGGACCUGUACUGACGCUCAUGCACGAAAGCGUGGGGAGCAAACAGGAUUAGAUACCCUGGUAGUCCACGCCCUAAACGAUGUCAACUGGUUGUUGGGUCUUCACUGACUCAGUAACGAAGCUAACGCGUGAAGUUGACCGC
RNAcentral lists this ribosomal RNA (820 nucleotides) under Variovorax sp. RNAcentral describes it as "bacterial SSU rRNA". It matches the Rfam family "Bacterial small subunit ribosomal RNA", at positions 56 to 872 of the family's 1533-position model. The record is from RNAcentral. Lineage: Bacteria; Pseudomonadati; Pseudomonadota; Betaproteobacteria; Burkholderiales; Comamonadaceae.